RNAcentral lists this ribosomal RNA (446 nucleotides) under uncultured bacterium. Its description in RNAcentral is "bacterial SSU rRNA". It matches the Rfam family "Bacterial small subunit ribosomal RNA", at positions 29 to 506 of the family's 1533-position model. The record is from RNAcentral.
ACGAACGCUGGCGGCGUGCCUUAAGCAUGCAAGUCGAACGAAGACAAUGCUUCGGUGUUGUUUUAGUGGCAAACGGGUGAGUAACGCGUAGUUAGUUGCCUUGAGGAGAGGGAUAGUCAUGGGAAGCUAUGAAUAAUACCUCAUAUGUCUACGGAUGAAAGCAGUAAUGCGCCUUGAGAUACGACUGCGUCCCAUCAGGUAGUUGGUAGGGUAAUGGCCUACCAAGCCUAUGACGGGUAGCCGGCCUGAGAGGGUGUACGGCCACAUUGGAACUGAGAAACGGUCCAGACUCCUACGGGAGGCAGCAGCUAGGAAUUUUCCGCAAUGAGCGAAAGCUUGACGGAGCGACGCCGCGUGAGGGAUGAAGGUGUUUUUGACAUUGUAAACCUCUUUUAUAUAGGACGAGAAAGGACGGUACUAUAUGAAUAAGCCCUGGCUAACUACGU